This is a long non-coding RNA of Antechinus flavipes (yellow-footed antechinus), 1019 nucleotides long. RefSeq lists it as uncharacterized. The transcript is spliced from 5 exons. The record is from RefSeq and is a predicted model, not a curated record. Lineage: Eukaryota; Metazoa; Chordata; Mammalia; Dasyuromorphia; Dasyuridae.
AGUACUAUAGCAUGAGAAAAGAUGAUCCCUGAAUCUUUCAGUCUUCUUGGAGAAUCCAACCUUCCAUUUGAGAGUAGGCAGGAUAGUCCCAGAACAAUGCUAACCUAGGCUGCUGACUUUUGGCACCAUCAUUAAAUCUAACAGGUAUAGCUGGCCAAUUUCUAGCACUCCAUCACGCAGAAUACUCUUUCCUUCCUUGUCACCAAACGCUGCCCAGUGACCUGCCAUCAUCAACAUUUCCCUUUCCUAGGUGGAGGCGGCGGGACCCUGUUCACAGAUUGUUAGACUUGAGUAAGAAGAUGAGACUCACAGGUUCUUCUAAUGUCAAGAUCAGCAACACUCUCAACAAGUAUGUCCACAGCUGCCAGAGCUUGGAGAAUGAAAGGGCAAAGCCAUUAAUGGGCAGAAGGCUCCUCGGCUUCCAUGCUCUAGAGUAAAGAUUCUAUGGCAGAGUCAAAAAGGGUCCCUAAAGGAAGCAUGGCUCGAGGAGAGGAAUUACAAAUGUCUCCAUCAGUCUGGGGUGGUGAGGAAAGGGAAGGGAAGCAUUGCACCCUGUUCUCUUGAAGGUCCCAAGCCUAAGGUGCUUCCUGGUACUGCUUCUGAUUCUCCUGACCUGGCCUCCAGAUUCUGCAGCUUUCUAACCCUAAAACUUCCAUAGGAUCUUCUUAUCUUGGAACAUUUCUUAACUCUGAUGUCCUCUUCUCCUGUUGAAUGUAAGCUCCUUGAUGAUUCAAGCCAGUUCCAAUGAUCUUAUGAUGAAGAAAGCCAUCUACAUACACCCAGAGAAAGGACUGUGGGAGCUGAGGGUGGAUCACAACAUAGCAUUCUCAUUCUCUCUGCUGUUGUUUGCUUACAUUUUAUUUUCUUUCUCUCUUUUUUUUUUUUUUUUUUACUUUUUGAUUUGAUUUUUCUUGUGCAGCAAGAUAAUUGUAUAAAUAUGUAUGCAUAAACAUAUUUAACAAAUAUAGGACUGCUUGCCAUCUAGGGGAGGGGGUGGAGAGAGGGAGGGGGAAAAUCAG